CAAUAAAUUAGCCACAUAUUGCAUGUAUUGAUAUCUUAUGAUACAAGUUAACCAUAUAGUACAAAUAUAAAAAAAUUAUCUUGCAAGUUUGACAAGUAUCUUGCAAGUUGGAUACAUGUUAGGGAUCCUACAGAAUAUUGCAACACAACCCUUAGUUAGAUAGUAUAUAUGGAGGCAAGAUUGAAGCUUUCUUUACUCUUGUCAAUGCCUUUCUAGUCCUUAGUCUUAUUUCAAGAUUUUCUAGUCUUUUUGUCUUUAGUAAUUGUGAGUGUAAAUUUUCACUCCUCAAUCCAAGUUAUAAGAUGGCUUCAAUUUAGAAUUUCUUAUAAUUGGUGGUAUAAAGUGAAGUAAGCAAAUAAC
This 360-nucleotide long non-coding RNA is filed under the name Physcomitrium patens. RNAcentral's name for it is "long non-coding RNA (PPAT_LNC006513)". The record is from RNAcentral. Lineage: Eukaryota; Viridiplantae; Streptophyta; Bryopsida; Funariales; Funariaceae.